This 460-nucleotide ribosomal RNA is filed under the name uncultured bacterium. RNAcentral's name for it is "partial 16S ribosomal RNA". It matches the Rfam family "Bacterial small subunit ribosomal RNA", at positions 338 to 795 of the family's 1533-position model. The record is from RNAcentral.
CCUACGGGAGGCUGCAGUGAGGAAUAUUGGUCAAUGGACGAGAGUCUGAACCAGCCAAGUAGCGUGAAGGAUGACUGCCCUAUGGGUUGUAAACUUUUUUUAUAUGGGAAUAAAAUGUUCCACGUGUGGGAUUUUGUAUGUACCAUAUGAAUAAGGAUCGGCUAACUCCGUGCCAGCAGCCGCGGUAAUACGGAGGAUCCGAGCGUUAUCCGGAUUUAUUGGGUUUAAAGGGAGCGUAGGUGGAUUGUUAAGUCAGUUGUGAAAGUUUGCGGCUCAACCGUAAAAUUGCAGUUGAAACUGGCAGUCUUGAGUACAGUAGAGGUGGGCGGAAUUCGUGGUGUAGCGGUGAAAUGCUUAGAUAUCACGAAGAACUCCGAUUGCGAAGGCAGUUCACUGGACUGCAACUGACACUGAGGCUCGAAAGUGUGGGUAUCAAACAGGAUUAGAUACCCGAGUAGUC